GGAGAGGUGACCGAGUGGCUGAAGGUGCACGCCUGGAACGCGUGUGUAGGGCAACCUACCGUGGGUUCGAAUCCCACUCUCUCCG
Molecule: transfer RNA, 85 nt
Filed under: Candidatus Cloacimonadota bacterium
Lineage: Bacteria; Pseudomonadati; Candidatus Cloacimonadota
Also listed under: 2 other names
Description: tRNA-Ser
Rfam family: tRNA
About the family: Transfer RNA (tRNA) molecules are approximately 80 nucleotides in length. Their secondary structure includes four short double-helical elements and three loops (D, anti-codon, and T loops).
Source: RNAcentral